AUUGAACACUGGCGGCAGGCCUAACACAUGCAAGUCGAACGAGUGGCGGACGGGUGAGUAAUGUCUGGGAAAUUGCCCGAUGGAGGGGGAUAACUACUGGAAACGGUAGCUAAUACCGCAUACCAUCGGAUGUGCCCAGAUGGGAUUAGCUAGUAGGUGGGGUAACGGCUCACCUAGGCGACGAUCCCUAGCUGGUCUGAGAGGAUGACCUGCCAGACUGGAACUGAGAAACGGUCCAGACUCCUCCGGGAGGCAGCAGUGGGGAAUAUUGCACAAUGGGCGCAAGCCUGAUGCAGCAAUGCCGCGUGUAUGAAGAAGGCCUGCGGGGUGUAAAGUACUUUCAGCGAGGAUGCGUUACUCGCAGAAGAAGCACCGGCUAACUCCGUGCCAGCCGCCGCGGUAAUUC
RNAcentral lists this ribosomal RNA (406 nucleotides) under uncultured bacterium. RNAcentral describes it as "partial 16S ribosomal RNA". It matches the Rfam family "Bacterial small subunit ribosomal RNA", at positions 30 to 526 of the family's 1533-position model. The record is from RNAcentral.